CCUACGGGAGGCAGCAGUGGGGGAUAUUGCACAAUCGGGGCAACCCUGAUGCAGCAACGCCGCGUGCGUGAAGAAGUCUUUCGGUAUGUAAAGCUCUAUCAGCAGGGAAGAGAAUGACGGUACCUGACUAAGAAGCCCCGGCUAACUACGUGCAAGCCGCCGCGGUCAUGCGGAGGGGGCGAGCGUUAUCCCGAUUUACUGGGUGUAAAGGGAGCGUAGACGGCGGGUCAAGUCUGAAGUGAAAGCCCGGGGCUUAACCCCGGAACGGCUUUGGAAACUGAGGAGCUAGAGUGCUGGAGAGGUAAGCGGAAUGCCUAGUGUAGCGGUGAAAUGCGUAGAUAUUAGGAGGAACACCAGUGGCGAAGGCGGCUUACUGGACAGUAACUGACGUUGAGGCUCGAAAGCGUGGGGAGCAAACAGGAUUAGAUACCCGGGUAGUC
Molecule: ribosomal RNA, 440 nt
Filed under: uncultured bacterium
Lineage: Bacteria
Description: partial 16S ribosomal RNA
Rfam family: Bacterial small subunit ribosomal RNA
Source: RNAcentral